GAUGAACGCUGGCGGCGUGCCUAAUACAUGCAAGUCGAGCGAACAGACCAGGCGCUUGCUCCUCUGACGUUAGCCGCGCACGGGUGAGUAACACGUGGAACACCCACCUAUAAGACUGGGAUCAUCACGGGAAACCGGAGCUUAUACCGGAUAAUAUCUUGCUGCGCAUGGUUCAAUAGUGAAUGUCGGCUUUGCUGUCACUUCUAGCUGCAUCCCCGCGGCAUUAGCUAGUUGGUAGGGUAACGGCUUACCAAGGCAACGAUGCGUAGCCGACCUGAGAGGGUGAUCGCCGACCCGGGAACGGAAACGCGGUCCAGACGCCUACGGGAGGCAGCAGUAGGGAAUCGUCCGCAAUGGGGGAAAGCCUGACGGAGUAACGCGGCGUGAGAUAUGAAGGCCUUGGGAGCGGAAAACUCUGUUAUUAGGGGAGAACAAAUUUGUAAGGAACUGUGCACGUCUUGACGGUACCUGGUCAGAAAGCCACGGCUAACUACGUG
Molecule: ribosomal RNA, 497 nt
Filed under: uncultured bacterium
Lineage: Bacteria
Description: partial 16S ribosomal RNA
Rfam family: Bacterial small subunit ribosomal RNA
Source: RNAcentral